AUUUGCAGCCAUAUCACCCUGUAGCCCAAGACUGGUUGCCCACUGAAGCUAAGCAGGGUUGAGCCUCGUCAGUACCUGGAUUCCUUCGAAAAAGAGUGGGGGUGUAACCC
This 110-nucleotide ribosomal RNA is filed under the name Sinocyclocheilus rhinocerous. The record is from RNAcentral. Lineage: Eukaryota; Metazoa; Chordata; Actinopteri; Cypriniformes; Cyprinidae.